AAUUCUAGAAUUACGCACGAGCAGACAUCCGAAUUCUAGAAUUACAACUCUGACAACACGCCGGAAAAGCGCAACAACAACAAAAGGCUUUUGCUCGGUUAUUAUAGAAAGCCUGCUGCCAAAUCCAAUCACAAAGCCACAGGUGUCCAUCUCUGCUUAGCCAAAUGUUUUCAAAGCGAAAAAAAAAGCUCCUGUAUCUUCAGCAGCAGCUCUAUCUGUACAGUGCUGCUGGGAUGACAAGAUGUUACUCAAUGAACUGAACACAUCGGGAUAUUUCUCCCCCCCUCCUCUCUGCUACCAGUGCAACCUGUUGCAGCACAUCGGAUAGUCAUCGUCCCGCCUCAGGAGCGACUUCAUUGGUGGGCGGAUCCACCGAGGAGGCGGUGCCUGCUGUGGGCUCAGCUCAGUUUCAUCUCUGCACACACACACAUACAUACACAUGCACAGGUUAAUACAGACAGAGUGUGUGUGUGA
Molecule: long non-coding RNA, 474 nt
Organism: Sebastes umbrosus (honeycomb rockfish)
Lineage: Eukaryota; Metazoa; Chordata; Actinopteri; Perciformes; Sebastidae
Exons: 2
Source: RefSeq, a predicted model, not a curated record